GUGCUCGCUUUGGCAGCACGUAUACUAAAAUUGGAAUGAUACCGAGAACAAUAGCAUGGCCUCUGCACAAGGAUGACACGCAAAUUCGUGCAGUGUUCCAUAUUAAA
Small nuclear RNA from Octodon degus (degu), 107 nucleotides. The record is from Ensembl. NCBI's taxonomy places the organism in Eukaryota, Metazoa, Chordata, Mammalia, Rodentia, Octodontidae.